This 396-nucleotide ribosomal RNA is filed under the name uncultured bacterium. Its description in RNAcentral is "partial 16S ribosomal RNA". It matches the Rfam family "Bacterial small subunit ribosomal RNA", at positions 523 to 918 of the family's 1533-position model. The record is from RNAcentral.
AUACAGAGGGUGCAAGCGUUAAUCGGAUUUACUGGGCGUAAAGCGCGCGUAGGUGGCUAAUUAAGUCAAAUGUGAAAUCCCCGAGCUUAACUUGGGAAUUGCAUUCGAUACUGGUUAGCUAGAGUAUGGGAGAGGAUGGUAGAAUUCCAGGUGUAGCGGUGAAAUGCGUAGAGAUGUGGAGGAAUACCGAUGGCGAGGGCAGCCUCCUGUCCUAACACUGAAUCUGAGGCGCACAAGCCUGGGGCGCAAACUGGAUUAGAUACCCUCGUAGUCGAUGCCGGAAAAGAUGUCUACUAGCCGUUGUAGACAGUGAGGCUUAAGUGGCGUAGCUCACGCGAUAAGUAGAACGCCUUGGGAGUACGGUCGCAAGACUAAAACUCACAUGAACUGAUGGGG